This 468-nucleotide ribosomal RNA is filed under the name uncultured bacterium. RNAcentral describes it as "partial 16S ribosomal RNA". It matches the Rfam family "Bacterial small subunit ribosomal RNA", at positions 28 to 507 of the family's 1533-position model. The record is from RNAcentral.
GACGAACGCUGGCGGCGUGCUUAACACAUGCAAGUCGAACGGAAAAGCCCUUCCUUUGUGGGGUGCUCGACUAACGAACGUGUAAGUCACACGUGAGUAACCUGCCCCUGACUUUUGGCUAACUUCAGUAGACUGUAUCAACUACCGGAUCGGCGCUCCGGCUGCUUUGGGGGUGGAGGGAAUUUUCGGCGGGUGGGGAUGGACUCGCGGCUUAUCAGCUUGUUGGUGGGGUAGUGGCCUACCAAGGCGUCGACGGGUAGCCGGCCUGAGAGGGUGACCGGCCACACUGGGACUGAGAUACGGCCCAGACUCCUACGGGAGGCAGCAGUGGGGAAUAUUGCACAAUGGGCGGAAGCCUGACGCAGCGACGCCGCGUGGGGGAUGACGGCCUUCGGGUUGUAAACCUCUUUCAGCUGUGACGAAGCGUGAGUGACGGUAAUGGCAAAAGAAGCACCGGCUAACUACGUG